RNAcentral lists this ribosomal RNA (187 nucleotides) under uncultured bacterium. RNAcentral's name for it is "partial 16S ribosomal RNA". It matches the Rfam family "Bacterial small subunit ribosomal RNA", at positions 1314 to 1500 of the family's 1533-position model. The record is from RNAcentral.
GGCUACAUGAAGCUGGAAUCGCUAGUAAUCGCAGAUCAGAAUGCUGCGGUGAAUACGUUCCCGGGUCUUGUACACACCGCCCGUCACACCAUGGGAGCCGGGAAUGCCCGAAGUCGGUGACCCAACCGUAAGGAGGGAGCCGCCGAAGGCAGGCCUGGUAACUGGGGUGAAGUCGUAACAAGGUACC